Molecule: long non-coding RNA, 653 nt
Filed under: Homo sapiens (human)
Lineage: Eukaryota; Metazoa; Chordata; Mammalia; Primates; Hominidae
Description: family with sequence similarity 95 member B1
Source: RNAcentral
AUUGUGGUUUGGGGGUCAGCACCCACCAGUGCCAGGGCACUACUGGGAGGCUGGGACCUGACCAAAGCCCAUGGUGUCUGUGGCCUGAGGACAGGGUGUCUUGGGGCCAUGAGGACAGGCCACCAAUGGCCGUUGGGUCAUAGGGCCUGAGCCCCAGUGUUUGUCCUUCCCUGGCUCCUUCUGGUUCAGUCCCAUCAGGGCUCUGGAUCCCAAGACGCAGCAUCCAAGGUUCCCUCCAGGAAUCCUGGUGGCUCGGCUUACUUUGUCAUGUUUCAUCUGAUAGCAAAAAUAUCAGAUCGGCUGCACAGAAAAAUGGCUCAAAGUGCUUAAUGACCAGAAGAAAUCUGGGAGUAGCAAGAAGAGCAGGACAAACACGCCAGGUGGUGUCAGGAGCCCAGGUCUCCAGCUGGAGGGAAUGUCAACCCUGCAGUGGGAGCCCAUCAUGCAUCCUAGGCACAGAUGCUAACGUAGGCACCGCAGGAAUCCCAGUGAAUAUAUUGCCACCAUCUUGGAGCUCAGUGCCCUCAUAGUGUAACAGCACCAGCAGAUCUGCCUGUGCACAGACUUCCUGUACUACCUCACUCCUGAGGGGAGAUGCUUCUGCAGGGCCUGCGACCUGGUGCACAACUUUAGACACCAUCAUCCUGGAGCGG